GUGAGGAAUCUUCCACAAUGGGCGAAAGCCUGAUGCAGCAACGCCGCGUGAAGGAUGAAGGUCUUCGGAUUGUAAACUUCUUUUAUGAGUGAAGAAUAUGACGUUAACUCAUGAAUAAGCACCGGCUAACUACGUGCCAGCAGCCGCGGUCAUACGUAGGGUGCAAGCAUUAUCCGGAGUGACUGGGCGUAAAGAGUUGCGUAGGCGGUUAUGUAAGCGAAUAGUGAAACCUGGUGGCUCAACCACACAGACUAUUAUUCGAACUGCAUAACUCGAGAAUGGUAGAGGUAACUGGAAUUUCUUGUGUAGGAGUGAAAUCCGGAGAUAUAAGAAGGAACACCAAUGGCGUAGGCAGGUUACUGGGCCAUUUCUGACGCUAAGGCACGAAAGCGUGGGGAGCGAACCGGAUUAGAAACCCCAGUAGUCC
This 427-nucleotide ribosomal RNA is filed under the name uncultured bacterium. RNAcentral describes it as "partial 16S ribosomal RNA". It matches the Rfam family "Bacterial small subunit ribosomal RNA", at positions 354 to 796 of the family's 1533-position model. The record is from RNAcentral.